This 914-nucleotide unclassified non-coding RNA is filed under the name Hevea brasiliensis (rubber tree). Lineage: Eukaryota; Viridiplantae; Streptophyta; Magnoliopsida; Malpighiales; Euphorbiaceae. The record is from RNAcentral.
AAAUGACUAGCCAAGUUAAUGUUGACAUGGUCUGAUACACCAGUUAACAUUUGUAAUAGAUGUUACUGAUGCAAAAACCCAAGAAGGAGCACCUUCUCUUUUUCCCAAACAUAAUUUCACCCACCCAAUAGCUUUAAACACUUACACUCCUGAGUCCUCUCUUUUUUUCAUUUCAGCCCUCUAUAUUCUAGCACAUCAAAAUUCUAUUACUUCAACAUCAGAACACUAGUUAUGUUGAAUUACAAAGGGUGCUUCAAAAGUUUUUUACACUAUAAGGCAUCAUUUUGGUCCAGUUUAAUUUGGCUAUUAUUUGAGUUGAACAAUAAAUUGUUAGAUCUAUAAGAUUAUUGCAUAUUUAGUUAAAUUCUUGUUCCAGCACUGAUUUGUGUCAUUAUGUGAACUUUUAAAAAUAUAAUUCAUGGUAGCGCUGCACGGUACUACAAUCUGAUAUGGUCAAAUAUAGUUGGAUAUUGCAACACAGAGACCAUCACUGACGCCACUACCAAUGUCAUUAUUUUAAAAUCCUAUUCAUAUAUGAUAACAUAUGAUAUUCCAUGGCCUUAAAAUUAAACUUCAACAGAAACUAAUAUCUUAAGACGUUGAAUCAAUAACCUCAAGGUCUCAACAUUUCAGAUCCAACAUUAGAAGAUGAUGCCUAAACAUGUAUAAAAUAUUAUUGCCUGACAUAUUAAUAUUACACGAGAUAAGCAUAAGUCAACUAGCAACCUACAACCUCCACUAUAUGUGUUGGCCAUUGAUGCAAAGUAAAAAAGUUUAUUAAAAGAUCUAUCAAAAAGAUAGGUUAUAUUGCUGAGAACAGAAACCAACUUCAAAACAUGAAGCAACUAAAACAGCCUAGGAGCUCCCUAGCCUAAAUCUUUUUUCUAGCAUUUUUGGAAGUCUGAAGAUGCUGG